UGUUUGGGAAUGCAGCUCAAAAUGGGAGGUAAAUCCCUUCUAAGGCUAAAUAUUGGCGAGAGACCGAUAGCGAACAAGUACCGUGAGGGAAAGAUGAAAAGAACUUUGAAAAGAGAGUUAAAAAGUGCUUGAAAUUGUUGAGGGGGAAGCGUUUGAAAGUCGUAGGUGCACCUAGGCUGAUGCGUCCUUAACGGGCCGCUGUUUGUGCUAGGUGCUGGUCAGCAUGGGUUUGCUGGGCGGGAUAAAAGCCGGGGUUGAUACCUGGUCUAUGCCGCCUAGUCGACCAAGGUGUGAAUGGCGCUCAGUCCUUCGGGAACUGCGUCAUCAAGAUGCUGGCAGAAGGCUUUCAACCGGCCCGUCUUGAAACACGGACC
RNAcentral lists this ribosomal RNA (374 nucleotides) under uncultured Chlamydomonadales. RNAcentral's name for it is "eukaryotic LSU rRNA". It matches the Rfam family "Eukaryotic large subunit ribosomal RNA", at positions 271 to 667 of the family's 3401-position model. Lineage: Eukaryota; Viridiplantae; Chlorophyta; Chlorophyceae; Chlamydomonadales. The record is from RNAcentral.